GGAUGAAGCAAUCUGGCUGACACUCAUUGGUCACCAUUGGUCACCAGGGUUCAUUUGGCUGAUCUGGCUGGCUAGGUAGAUACCCCUUUCCUCCCCAUCACCUUAUGUGUUCCCCUUCUCAUGCUGCAUACUUUGUUGUAGAAGAUGGCCUUCCCAGAAUAGAGAACUGUUCUUAAGGUAGGGUAAAUGAGUAGCUGCACCUCUCGCUUCAAACAAGCUUUCAAAACUGAUUGGACUGUUUCCAUAUCCUGGCUAUUGUA
This 260-nucleotide small nuclear RNA is filed under the name Sorex araneus (European shrew). RNAcentral's name for it is "7SK RNA (ENSSARG00000018977.1)". It matches the Rfam family "7SK RNA". From Rfam's summary of the family: 7SK was discovered as an abundant small nuclear RNA in the mid-70s but a possible function has only recently been suggested. Two independent studies have found that 7SK RNA binds the CDK9/cyclin T complex (known as elongation factor P-TEFb). P-TEFb activates transcription by phosphorylating the C-terminal domain of RNA polymerase II. Lineage: Eukaryota; Metazoa; Chordata; Mammalia; Eulipotyphla; Soricidae. The record is from RNAcentral.